GGAGCGGGCCGGACGGCCGCUGCGGGGCGGGCCGGUUCGGGCUCGCCCCGGGGAGGAAAGUCCGGGCUCCACAGGACACGGUGGUGGGUAACGCCCACCGUCCGCGAGGACCGGGAAAGUGCAACAGAAAGCAAACCGCCGAUGGCCUGCCUCUCCGGAGGCGGGAUCAGGUAAGGGUGAAACGGUGCGGUAAGAGCGCACCGCGGUCCUGGUGACAGGGCCGGCACGGCAAACCCCACCGGGAGCAAGACCAAGCAGGGCGGAGGCGCGGUCCGCGCCGCUCGACGUCCGGGUAGGUCGCGCGAGGCGACGGGCAACCGUCGUCCCAGAGAAAUGGCCGUUCUCGACAGAACCCGGCUUACAGGCCCGCUCCGGCU
RNAcentral lists this RNase P RNA (377 nucleotides) under Planctomycetota bacterium. RNAcentral describes it as "Planctomycetes bacterium RNase P RNA component class A". It matches the Rfam family "Bacterial RNase P class A". From Rfam's summary of the family: Ribonuclease P (RNase P) is a ubiquitous endoribonuclease, found in archaea, bacteria and eukarya as well as chloroplasts and mitochondria. The record is from RNAcentral. Lineage: Bacteria; Pseudomonadati; Planctomycetota.